AUGCGUGUAGGCAUAGAGGAGGUCUUUCCGUUGGUAGUGCACAGGCACUGUAGGUGGCACAUUAUAAAGAAGGCUGAGGAGACGCUAGGACCGUUCUUUGCUGACCGUCAAGAGCUGCAUAAGGCAUUCGAACUGUGCGUGGACCACAGCUUGACGGUGGAGGAGUUUGAAAGGAGCUGGAUGGCCAUGACUGAAACACAUCAAGUCCAAGACAAGGAGACUCUUGUAAGCCUGUGGGAGAAGCGAAUGUACUGGGUGCCGGCCUACUUCAUGCAGUUCUUCUUCCCCUUUCUACAGACUACGCAGCGCAGCGAGGGAUUCAAUGCUGUUUUGAAGCGGUACGUCAGUCCUGGCAACUCAUUGCUACAGUUUGCCAAGCAGUACACAGCUUUGCAACAAAAAAUUCUGGGAUCUGAGCUGCAGCAAGAAGCGAACACCGCGCUGAAGCAGCCAAAAUUGCUAACGUACUUACCGAUGGAGAGGCAAAUGAGCAAGAUAUACACCAACAAGAUCUUUAACAAGUAA
RNAcentral lists this ribosomal RNA (525 nucleotides) under Triticum aestivum (bread wheat). RNAcentral's name for it is "partial small subunit ribosomal RNA". The record is from RNAcentral. Lineage: Eukaryota; Viridiplantae; Streptophyta; Magnoliopsida; Poales; Poaceae.